Long non-coding RNA from Alexandromys fortis (reed vole), 3151 nucleotides. RefSeq lists it as uncharacterized. The transcript has 3 exons. The record is from RefSeq and is a predicted model, not a curated record. Lineage: Eukaryota; Metazoa; Chordata; Mammalia; Rodentia; Cricetidae.
AAAAAACAGACAGCAAAGUUUAUUCCAGAAAUUAAUGAAUCAAUGAGAUGUGCAUAUGUGUGUGUGUGUGUGUGAACAUAGCUUUCUAGUAAAAUAAUACCAAAUUGAAUAAGGACAAGCCAAAGGACACAUUUUAUUUUUAUGAGAAGAACACAGGAACAUUAAUUGAUUUUAAGGAAGGAGCAGAGACUCAACUUUAAAAGCUCAGGAAAAUAUUAAGGCUUAUAUAUCCUGGCACCAAAACUUACCACUGACUAGGCAGUUUUAAGCAGUACAAAUUUGUUAUCUCACAGUAUUUGGGAUUUAAAGUUUGAAAUGGAUCUCAGUAAGAUAAAAAUCAAGAUUCGGACAAGGUUACAUCCAUUCUGAAAGAUCUGAAAAAUGUAUUUGGCAGCCACAAUUUUUUUGAUUGGUAGGCAUUCCUGGAUGUGUGUCUCCAUCUUCAAAACUAGCAAUGACUGGCCUAGUCUUUCCCAAGAUGCAUCAGUCUGACCUUGGCUUUCUAUCUACCAGUCUACAUUUAAAAGACCCUUGUGAUUAUAUGGAGCUCCCUGGGAUGGUACAGGUUAAUAUCUUUAUAUUAAAUCUUCCUUUUUGCAACUCUCAUUCUAAUGUAUUCUUAAUUCUUUUUGGUCGUGUAAAAUAACAUAAUACUUUGUGGGGAUUCAGAUACUGACAUUGUGUAUGGUGCCAUUAUUCUUAUCAAACAUGAAGAAAUCAAGGAAGACAUAAAAACAAAGGAAAAAUAUGAACUUUGUCUCACUGGGUCACAAGAUUGCAUAUUAAUCCUUCUUGCUUUAUCCAUUGAUAUUUUUCAUGCAUUAUAAAUGUAAAAAUCUCAGUUUACUAUUGGGAUUUUCAAGGCAAAUUCCUUGUGGUUCCUGUAAUGCUAUAUUAAUUUGGGACAGGUAUGUUAAACAUAUCAUGUGAUUAUGCAGACUAAUAUAACUUUAUUGUUCUUUCAUCCAUAACAAAAUUCAGCUGGCUAUUUAUAUAUUACUAAAAGAUAACAAAGGAAUGUAUGAGCAAAAAAGGAAACCCAGUAGCUUAUGUGAAAACAAUGCCAAGCAAGCAGGUCUAGCCUGUAGCUCACUAACUGUGUGUUAUAAAUGUAACCCCUACAAGGAGCUGUGAACUCACUUAAAACACCGUUAUAAGUUUUAUGUCUAUUUUUGCGAGUUGAUUAAACAGUUCUCAAGUGUGAACUUUGUCGACAGCAUCACCACAUAAUGUCAAAACUUUAGACAGAUGGGCAAAGUGUGUCUUAGCAUUUCCUGUCAGGUAUUUUAGUCGGGUGAAAAUAUACAGUAAUAUCUUUUGAGGUGAACGGAAUCAUUCUUUGUAAAUGUAGGUGUAUAAAUGGAAUCCUCAGUAAAUAUAAGUCUACUUAUGAUCUUAGUUGCUUGUCAAACCCUCUUGUACAAUGUUUGAUUCCAUAAAUACUUAUGGAUAGACAUUUCUUAUAAUUCUUAUUUUAUUUCUUUUUUAAAAAGACUUGCUAAAAUCAGAACAUUAUUAACACCUUUGUAAAUUCUUAUUUAAUAAAGUUCCUGUCAAUUUCUGAAUGGUAACUUCUACAAAUAGGUUAAAAAGUAAAAGAUAUCCAUUUAUAUUCAUUUUACCCUCAGGGAUAUAAUUCAAUAAAACACCCAAUAAUCCUAGAAAAUUGAAUUUUAUUUUCAAUAAAUCUGGAUAAUUAAAAAAAACUUAUUGUGGAAUAAUGACUUUCAUACAAAAAGUUUAAAUGCUUUUAUUAACAUAUUGUACUUUACUGCAAGUUGAUUUUAUGAACACGUUUUAAUCUCAUUUUUCUUCUCUCUUUGAGGCUAACAGGAAGAGAUCCUGUGUAAGAGAUGAAGAUGUAGGGGUGGGGAGGCCACAGGCAAUUAAAGGCUCUCUGUGUUGGCCGUCACUCAGGAAACCUCUCUGGGCCCUGUGGUCCAUGACUGAUCUCUUCUAGUUUUCACAGCCCUCUGUCCUUACUGCUUAGCACUAAAUAAAAUCAUACUUUGAAGUUGAAAGUGCUGGUUUACAUUAUUUAUUUAUGUCUGCUCUUUACUUCCAAAUGUCCUUUUACAAUGAAAUUUCAUUUUACAAUGAAAACGUGAGCAUUAGAAGGUCAAGAGUAACUCUAUAAUAAAAGUCAAAUUAUUCACUCUCUGUGAAUCUGCUUUAUUGGUCAAAAGGGUGUCUGAGCAAGUUAGUGUAUUACACAGUCAUCAAGCAGAUUGUUAUUAUUAUGGUCUUGGUCCUUAUUUCUGUCUUUCCAGGUAGAAGCUGAAAAGCAGGCGAGCUCUGUAUCAGAACUCUGAGUGGAACUCACUCUGCUCAAAACUGUCCCCUGAGUCCUGGGGUUGGAAGGAAGCAGGAAACGUGGUGGUGGAUGAGACUGAUGUUGGAGGGGGCAGAACUGAAAGAGGCACAGGUGUUUGCGUGAGUGGAUUCCAUCCCAAGGAUUUUUAAAAAGUAUUCUCUCAUUACCUACUGCAAAUUUUUAAUGAUUUUAUAAAUAUUUUGUUCUGGACUGGCAAGAUGGCUCAGCGGUUAAGAGCACCGGCUGCUCUACCUGGGAACUCAGGUUCAAUUCCCAGCAAUCACGACUGUCUGUAACUCCAGAUUCUGGGGAUCUGACACGUCACAUAAAUAACAGACAGAUGUACAUGUAUCACAUGUGUGCCGAAUCCACAGAAGGUAGAAGAGCAUAUCAGAUCUCCUGGAACUGAAGUUCACAACUGGAAAUCACAAUGUGGAUGUUAGGAAUCAAACCCAGUUCCUAUGAAGGAACUGCAAGUGUUCUUAACUAUUAAGACAUCUCUCCAGUCCUGAUCUUCACUUUAACAAGUAGAAAGACAUAGCCUAGUCAAACAAAAGACCAAUAAUGAAUAUUGAGGAAUCAUGGAGCUGGCCUGGCCUGUCUUGAGAGGCAAACACUGCCUCAGACAGCGAAGCGCUGAGACUACUUUGUGUUUCUCCGUAUGUUCCCUUGGAAGUCAAGGAAUCGUGGCAGCUUGGCAGGACGAUUAUCUUAGAUAUUAAUCUUGUGUACCCCAUAAAGCUUGCAAACAUCAUUGUAUCCUGGCAACUACACCUGUAUUGAUCCUGAUGAUUGCCACUAUAUUCUAUUUCUUGAUAAAGGUAUAAAAAGUCUGAU